AUCAGUGUGUGUGUUAGUGGAAGCGUCUGGAAAGGCGCGCGAUACAGGGUGACAGCCCCGUACACAAAAAUGCACAUGCUGUGAGCUCGAUGAGUAGGGCGGGACACGUGGUAUCCUGUCUGAAUAUGGGGGGACCAUCCUCCAAGGCUAAAUACUCCUGACUGACCGAUAGUGAACCAGUACCGUGAGGGAAAGGCGAAAAGAACCCCGGCGAGGGGAGUGAAAAAGAACCUGAAACCGUGUACGUACAAGCAGUGGGAGCACGCUUCGGCGUGUGACUGCGUACCUUUUGUAUAAUGGGUCAGCGACUUAUAUUCUGUAGCAAGGUUAACCGAAUAGGGGAGCCGAAGGGAAACCGAGUCUUAACUGGGCGUUAAGUUGCAGGGUAUAGACCCGAAACCCGGUGAUCUAGCCAUGGGCAGGUUGAAGGUUGGGUAACACUAACUGGAGGACCGAACCGACUAAUGUUGAAAAAUUAGCGGAUGACUUGUGGCUGGGGGUGAAAGGCCAAUCAAACCGGGAGAUAGCUGGUUCUCCCCGAAAGCUAUUUAGGUAGCGCCUCGUGAAUUCAUCUCCGGGGGUAGAGCACUGUUUCGGCAAGGGGGUCAUCCCGACUUACCAACCCGAUGCAAACUGCGAAUACCGGAGAAUGUUAUCACGGGAGACACACGGCGGGUGCUAACGUCCGUCGUGAAGAGGGAAACAACCCAGACCGCCAGCUAAGGUCCCAAAGUCAUGGUUAAGUGGGAAACGAUGUGGGAAGGCCCAGACAGCCAGGAUGUUGGCUUAGAAGCAGCCAUCAUUUAAAGAAAGCGUAAUAGCUCACUGGUCGAGUCGGCCUGCGCGGAAGAUGUAACGGGGCUAAACCAUGCACCGAAGCUGCGGCAGCGACGCUUAUGCGUUGUUGGGUAGGGGAGCGUUCUGUAAGCCUGUGAAGGUGUGCUGUGAGGCAUGCUGGAGGUAUCAGAAGUGCGAAUGCUGACAUAAGUAACGAUAAAGCGGGUGAAAAGCCCGCUCGCCGGAAGACCAAGGGUUCCUGUCCAACGUUAAUCGGGGCAGGGUGAGUCGACCCCUAAGGCGAGGCCGAAAGGCGUAGUCGAUGGGAAACAGGUUAAUAUUCCUGUACUUGGUGUUACUGCGAAGGGGGGACGGAGAAGGCUAUGUUGGCCGGGCGACGGUUGUCCCGGUUUAAGCGUGUAGGCUGGUUUUCCAGGCAAAUCCGGAAAAUCAAGGCUGAGGCGUGAUGACGAGGCACUACGGUGCUGAAGCAACAAAUGCCCUGCUUCCAGGAAAAGCCUCUAAGCAUCAGGUAACAUCAAAUCGUACCCCAAACCGACACAGGUGGUCAGGUAGAGAAUACCAAGGCGCUUGAGAGAACUCGGGUGAAGGAACUAGGCAAAAUGGUGCCGUAACUUCGGGAGAAGGCACGCUGAUAUGUAGGUGAGGUCCCUCGCGGAUGGAGCUGAAAUCAGUCGAAGAUACCAGCUGGCUGCAACUGUUUAUUAAAAACACAGCACUGUGCAAACACGAAAGUGGACGUAUACGGUGUGACGCCUGCCCGGUGCCGGAAGGUUAAUUGAUGGGGUUAGCGGUAACGCGAAGCUCUUGAUCGAAGCCCCGGUAAACGGCGGCCGUAACUAUAACGGUCCUAAGGUAGCGAAAUUCCUUGUCGGGUAAGUUCCGACCUGCACGAAUGGCGUAAUGAUGGCCAGGCUGUCUCCACCCGAGACUCAGUGAAAUUGAACUCGCUGUGAAGAUGCAGUGUACCCGCGGCAAGACGGAAAGACCCCGUGAACCUUUACUAUAGCUUGACACUGAACAUUGAGCCUUGAUGUGUAGGAUAGGUGGGAGGCUUUGAAGUGUGGACGCCAGUCUGCAUGGAGCCGACCUUGAAAUACCACCCUUUAAUGUUUGAUGUUCUAACGUUGACCCGUAAUCCGGGUUGCGGACAGUGUCUGGUGGGUAGUUUGACUGGGGCGGUCUCCUCCUAAAGAGUAACGGAGGAGCACGAAGGUUGGCUAAUCCUGGUCGGACAUCAGGAGGUUAGUGCAAUGGCAUAAGCCAGCUUGACUGCGAGCGUGACGGCGCGAGCAGGUGCGAAAGCAGGUCAUAGUGAUCCGGUGGUUCUGAAUGGAAGGGCCAUCGCUCAACGGAUAAAAGGUACUCCGGGGAUAACAGGCUGAUACCGCCCAAGAGUUCAUAUCGACGGCGGUGUUUGGCACCUCGAUGUCGGCUCAUCACAUCCUGGGGCUGAAGUAGGUCCCAAGGGUAUGGCUGUUCGCCAUUUAAAGUGGUACGCGAGCUGGGUUUAGAACGUCGUGAGACAGUUCGGUCCCUAUCUGCCGUGGGCGCUGGAGAACUGAGGGGGGCUGCUCCUAGUACGAGAGGACCGGAGUGGACGCAUCACUGGUGUUCGGGUUGUCAUGCCAAUGGCACUGCCCGGUAGCUAAAUGCGGAAGAGAUAAGUGCUGAAAGCAUCUAAGCACGAAACUUGCC
Molecule: ribosomal RNA, 2496 nt
Filed under: Escherichia coli
Lineage: Bacteria; Pseudomonadati; Pseudomonadota; Gammaproteobacteria; Enterobacterales; Enterobacteriaceae
Description: partial 23S ribosomal RNA
Rfam family: Bacterial large subunit ribosomal RNA
Source: RNAcentral